Molecule: long non-coding RNA, 556 nt
Filed under: Apteryx owenii (little spotted kiwi)
Lineage: Eukaryota; Metazoa; Chordata; Aves; Apterygiformes; Apterygidae
Description: lncRNA (ENSAOWG00000010678.1)
Source: RNAcentral
CGGGUCCGGCUGCCCGGCGCGGCUGCCGGGGCGCUCAGCCCUUCCUUCCCUCUCGCUGCCUCGGCGCUGGAGGCUCCGGACUAUAAAUAGCAGGUUGUCCAGCCGCCGAGCGACACACGCACGCACCGGGAGGAAAGUGCCGUGCAGGUCGCCCCGCCGGGCGAGCGCCCGGCCCCGAGCCAGUUGAUCUUCAUAUCCGCUGCUUAGAUUUUGCUCAGCUUCAACACACUAAUUAGCAUCAUUGUUGUCCUCCUCCAUCUCUUACUCGUCCUCAUCCUCUUCCCUGGCAAUCCAAUGAGAUUCAAUGCUAAAGAUCUGGCUUUGCUGGCCAGGCGACCAGCAGGUUGUUUUGACAAGGAAGGAAAACUGAAGAUUUGCAGACUGGUUGGAGAUGAAAAGUUAAUAGAACCGAGAGAGAGAUGGUGCCGACUGAAAGGAAAUCUGCUUUUUCUAAUGAAAAAUAAGAAUCCUGGAGGUGGACAAACACUAACAUCAGCAGGUUAACAUACUACACUAAGUUGCAACUGCUUUUAUAAUCCAUGAAUCUGCACAGAAG